AGUCGAACGCGAAAGUGGAGCAAUCCACAAGUAGAGUAGCAAACGGGUGAGUAACACGUGGGUGACCUGCCUUCGAGUGGGGGAUAACGUCCCGAAAGGGACGCUAAUACCGCAUAACAUGCUGCCUUUUAAGAGGUGGACAUCAAAGCUGGGGACCGCAAGGCCUAGCGCUUGGAGAGGGGCCCGCGUCCGAUUAGCUAGUUGGUGAGGUAAUGGCUCACCAAGGCAAACGAUCGGUAGCCGGCCUGAGAGGGCGGACGGCCACACUGGGACUGAAACACGGCCCAGACUCCUACGGGAGGCAGCAGUGGGGAAUUGUUCGCAAUGGGCGCAAGCCUGACGACGCAACGCCGCGUGGAGGAUGAAGAUCUUCGGGUCGUAAACUCCUUUCGAUCGAGACGAAUGGCCCUUGGGCUAAUCACCAGGGGAAUGACGGUACCGAGAGAAGAAGCCCCGGCUAACUCCGUGCCAGCAGCCGCGGUAAUACGGGGGGGGCAAGCGUUGUUCGGAAUUACUGGGCGUAAAGGGCUCGUAGGCGGCCAACUAAGUCAGACGUGAAAUCCCUCGGCUUAACCGGGGAACUGCGUCUG
This 590-nucleotide ribosomal RNA is filed under the name uncultured bacterium. RNAcentral's name for it is "bacterial SSU rRNA". It matches the Rfam family "Bacterial small subunit ribosomal RNA", at positions 60 to 629 of the family's 1533-position model. The record is from RNAcentral.